AGCGAACGCUGGCGGCAGGCUUAACACAUGCAAGUCGAGCGGGCCCUUCGGGGUCAGCGGCGGACGGGUGAGUAACGCGUGGGAACGUGCCUUCUAGUUCGGAAUAACUCAGGGAAACUUGAGCUAAUACCGGAUACGCCCUUUUGGGGAAAGGUUUACUGCCUGAAGAUCGGCCCGCGUCUGAUUAUCUUGUUGGUGGGGUAACGGCCUACCAAGGCGACGAUCAGUAGCUGGGUAGAGAGGAUGGUCAGCCACACUGGGACUGAGACACGGCCCAGACUCCUACGGGAGGCAGCAGUGGGGAAUAUUGGACAAUGGGCGCAAGCCUGAUCCAGCCAUGCCGCGUGAGUGAUGAAGGCCUUAGGGUUGUAAAGCUCUUUUAUCCGGGACGAUAAUGACGGUACCGGAGGAAUAAGCCCCGGCUAACUUCGUG
This 433-nucleotide ribosomal RNA is filed under the name uncultured bacterium. Its description in RNAcentral is "partial 16S ribosomal RNA". It matches the Rfam family "Bacterial small subunit ribosomal RNA", at positions 29 to 507 of the family's 1533-position model. The record is from RNAcentral.